Long non-coding RNA from Gordionus sp. m RMFG-2023, 739 nucleotides. RefSeq lists it as uncharacterized. NCBI's taxonomy places the organism in Eukaryota, Metazoa, Nematomorpha, Gordioida, Chordodea, Parachordodidae. The record is from RefSeq and is a predicted model, not a curated record. The transcript is spliced from 4 exons.
UUUAAAUAAAGUAAAAAUUAAUUAUUUUUCACAUUAAAAUUAAUUAUGUAUAAAAAAACGUUUUCUUUAAUAGUAUUUCUGUAUAUUUUUAUAGUUAUAAUCUACUUAAAUACACAACAAUCCAACGGAUGCUAUUCUCAUUAUAGUCCAUUCAGUAACAUUGUAAGGGCCCAUCUCCUUUUUAUCAGAGCAAACGGUCAGAAAAUAUUCUGCACAAGAUAUUGCCAAUCGUAUGAUUACGUUUGUUGUAUAUGCCGAAAUAGAAUUUCUUAGAAUUCAGUCAAGCCACUGGAAAAUAUCUACUAUCAUCUCAACUUAGGCCAUAUUUAAUUAUCGAUGACAUUUUAAAACAUUAUAUCAUAUAUUACCAUAAAUAAUAAAUAUAGUGUUACCAUUUAUUUGUGAAAAAUUAUUAUUAUUAAAUACCGAGAAGAGAAAAACCCAUAAAAUCUUAUUAAACAUUCAUAAGAAAAAUUGACACAUCCCUUUCUAAAUUUCUUUUUUUUAAAUUUCUCCUUAAUUUAUAAUUUCAUUAUUUAUCACAAUUAUAAUAAUCUUGCAUUCAAAAUUUUUUAAUAAUCUAUUUAUAUUAAUUUUAUUUUACGGUAUUAUAUUGUAUAUACAUUUUUAGCCAUUUAUUGUUACAUUAUUAUCAUGGUUUAUAUGGUACAUAUUUUAUUCACAAUUGAUUAAUCUAUUUAUAUUAAUUAAAUUUUACGGUAUUAUAUUGUAUAUACAU